UGGGUUAGUCCGCACGAGCGCACCUUGCCUGUAGUUGCCAUCAGGUUAUGCUGGGCACUCUGCAGGGACUGUCGACGAAAAGCCGGAGGAAGGUGGGGAUGACGUCAAGUCCUCAUGGCCUUUAUGCCCCGGGCGACACACGUGCUACAAUGGGCGGUACACAGGGUCAGCCAACCCACGAGGGUGAGCGAAUCCCAAAAAACCGUCCUCAGUUCGGAUUGCAGUCUGCAACUCGACUGCAUGAAGUUGGAAUCGCUAGUAAUCGUGGAUCAGCAUGCCGCGGUGAAUACGUUCCCGGGCCUUGUACACACCGCCCGUCACAUCACGGAAGUGGGCUGUACUAGAAGUCACUGGGCUAACCUUCUUCGGAAGGAGGCAAGUGCCAACGGUAUGGCUCAUGACUGGGGUGAAGUCGUAACAAGGUAGCUGUAGGAGAACCUGUGGCUGGAUCACCUCCUUUCU
RNAcentral lists this ribosomal RNA (462 nucleotides) under uncultured marine bacterium 106. RNAcentral describes it as "bacterial SSU rRNA". It matches the Rfam family "Bacterial small subunit ribosomal RNA", at positions 1077 to 1533 of the family's 1533-position model. The record is from RNAcentral.